RNAcentral lists this ribosomal RNA (463 nucleotides) under uncultured bacterium. RNAcentral describes it as "partial 16S ribosomal RNA". It matches the Rfam family "Bacterial small subunit ribosomal RNA", at positions 28 to 507 of the family's 1533-position model. The record is from RNAcentral.
GAUGAACGCUGACAGCAUGCUUAACACAUGCAAGUCGAAGGGGAAGUGGUGCUUGCACUAUGGCAACCAUGGCGGACGGGUGAGUAACGCGUAAGGGACUUACCUGCAGGACUGGGAUAACAGGGGGAAACUCCUGACAUGACCGGAUAAUGUCAUGGAGCUGCCUGGCUUUAUGAUGAAAGGGGACGCCUGCGGAGAGCCUUGCGUCCUAUUAGCUAGUUGGUGAGGUAAUGGUUCACCACGGCGACGAUAGGUAGCCGGCCUGAGAGGGUGGACGGCCACAAGGGGACGGAGAGACGGCCGUGGCUCCUACGGGAGACAGCAGGGGGGAAUAUUGGACAAUGGCGGCGACCCUGAUCCAGCAAUUCGGUGUGCACGAACAAGGUUUUCGGAUUGAAAAGUGCUUGCAUCAGAGAAGGAGUAAGUGACGGUACCUGCAGAAGAAGCGACGGCUAAAUACGUG